Vicia faba (fava bean) is the source of this 189-nucleotide non-coding RNA. The record is from the annotation of a GenBank genome assembly. Lineage: Eukaryota; Viridiplantae; Streptophyta; Magnoliopsida; Fabales; Fabaceae.
AUGGAAUUGAAAUUGCGAAACCUUCAAUUUGAAAUUGACAAUUUGAAUUUAUUGUUUUGGUGCCACUGUCAAAGAUGUCAAAUGAACAAACCUAUAUCAGCACAAAGAGCUUUCAAAUUUUCUGAUCAGUGUUAUCUUGCACGCUCUUGCAACAAGCAAAGACAAAUCAACUCAUUCGUCAAUUGUUAC